This 253-nucleotide ribosomal RNA is filed under the name uncultured bacterium. Its description in RNAcentral is "partial 16S ribosomal RNA". It matches the Rfam family "Bacterial small subunit ribosomal RNA", at positions 524 to 776 of the family's 1533-position model. The record is from RNAcentral.
UACAGAGGCCUCGAGCGUUAGGCGGAAUCACUGGGCUUAAAGCGUGUGUAGGCGGAUGCCUAAGUACCUUGUGAAAUCCCACGGCUCACCCGUGGGACGGCUGGGUAUACUGGGUGUCUUGAGCCACUUAGGGGCUGCCGGAACAAAUGGUGGAGCGGUGAAAUGCGUAGAUAUCAUUUGGAACGCCAAUGGUGAAAACAGGCAGCUGGGAGUGUGCUGACGCCGAGACACGAAAGCCAGGGGAGCGAACGGG